RNA transcript from Malus domestica (apple), 1042 nucleotides. It is a transcript of the gene named multiple RNA-binding domain-containing protein 1-like, with no coding region annotated. Lineage: Eukaryota; Viridiplantae; Streptophyta; Magnoliopsida; Rosales; Rosaceae. The record is from RefSeq and is a predicted model, not a curated record.
UAUUCUCCUUCUCUUUUACAUUGAACAAUCUAAGCACAUCCGUAUUUUUUUUCAUUUUUCAGGUUUUCUCCGUUUCAUAUUCACCGUGAACUUAUUAGUCAUUAUGCCUUGAUGAUAACGAUGUCGUAAGAGUCAUUUGUGUUGCAAAACAAGGUUUGCUCUGUUGCUUCUAACAUAGUUGAUUAUUCUGUUAGAGAUUAAAGAUGGUAACGUUUGGGGGUUUCCUUGUAGAUUUACAUUUAUGCUGCCAUUUCUUGUCUACUAAUUUUUACACCUGUGGCUUAUUUUUGUUUUCUUUUACAUUUUCCUUGUUCUGUUACGUCUUGCCUAGCCAAUAUAAUAAUUAUUUUGUCUUUGUUGUGUAACAUUCUCCAGUCACAAUCUCUAUAUGUCAAGAAUCUGAGCUUUAGGACAUCAGACGAGAGUUUGAUAAAGCAUUUUAGUGGACAAGUGAAGGGGGGAAAACUAUUAAGUGUUAAGGUAAAGAAACACUUGAAGAAUGGGAAGAAUGUUUCAAUGGGUUUUGGUUUUCUGGAGUUCGAUUCUGUGGAGACAGCCACAAAUGUUUGCCGGGAUUUACAGGGAACUAUUUUGGACGGGCAUGCUCUUAUUUUGCAACUUUGUCAUGCCAAGAAAGAUGAAGUGCCUAAAAAGGUUGACAAUGAUAAAAGCUCGACAAAACUACUUGUGAAAAAUGUAGCUUUUGAGGCCACAGAGAAAGAACUGAGACAGCUAUUUAGUCCAUUUGGCCAGUGAAUUUUAGACAAAAUGUUAUGCCGUGAACCCCAAGGCGACGUCGUUUUAGCCAUCACCGUGUUAUCCCGUGAAAAGUUUCAAGGCGACGUUAUUUUUCUAAUAUAUACACUGUUGCCCUCCCUCACCAGUGUAAAGUAAUCUCAUUCUAUGAUAGGUGGUCUAUACCAUUCAUCAAGCUUUCGCGACUUGAAACUUUUCACUCGAGCUUUGGCGACUGGAAGCUUUGGUCUAUACCAUUCACUUCCUUUGUCCGAUUAGAUGCUCAUUAAUUAUUAUUUUUUUGCUG